GACGAACCGUGCGAACGUUAUUCGGAAUCACUGGGCUUAAAGCGCGUGUAGGCGGGCGGGAACGUCGGUCGCUGAAAUCCCCCGGCUCAACCGGGGAAGUGGUGCCGAAACGACCCGCCUGGAGGGACGUAGGGGGAGCUGGAACUUCCGGUGGAGUGGUGAAAUGCGUUGAGAUCGGAAGGAACGCCCGUGGCGAAAGCGAGCUCCUGGACGUCUGCUGACGCUGAGACGCGAAAGCCAGGGUAGCGAACGGG
This 254-nucleotide ribosomal RNA is filed under the name uncultured bacterium. Its description in RNAcentral is "partial 16S ribosomal RNA". It matches the Rfam family "Bacterial small subunit ribosomal RNA", at positions 524 to 776 of the family's 1533-position model. The record is from RNAcentral.